AGCGAACGCUGGCGGCAGGCCUAACACAUGCAAGUCGAACGAACCUUUCGGGGUUAGUGGCGGACGGGUGAGUAACACGUGGGAACGUGCCUUUAGGUUCGGAAUAACUCAGGGAAACUUGUGCUAAUACCGAAUGUGCCCUUCGGGGGAAAGAUUUAUCGCCUUUAGAGCGGCCCGCGUCUGAUUAGCUAGUUGGUUGAGGUAAUGGCUCACCAAGGCGACGAUCAGUAGAUGGUCUGAGAGGAUGAUCAGCCACAUUGGGACUGAGACACGGCCCAAACUCCGACGGGAGGCAGCAGUGGGGAAUAUUGCGAAAUGGGCGAAAGCCUGACGCAGCCAUGCCGCGUGAAUGAUGAAGGUCUUAGGAUUGUAAAAUUCUUUCACCGGGGACGAUAAUGACGGUACCCGGAGAAGAAGCCCCGGCUAACUUCGUG
Molecule: ribosomal RNA, 434 nt
Filed under: uncultured bacterium
Lineage: Bacteria
Description: partial 16S ribosomal RNA
Rfam family: Bacterial small subunit ribosomal RNA
Source: RNAcentral